RNAcentral lists this ribosomal RNA (468 nucleotides) under uncultured bacterium. RNAcentral's name for it is "partial 16S ribosomal RNA". It matches the Rfam family "Bacterial small subunit ribosomal RNA", at positions 28 to 507 of the family's 1533-position model. The record is from RNAcentral.
GACGAACGCUGGCGGCGUGCUUAACACAUGCAAGUCGAACGGAAAGGCCCUGCUUUUGUGGGGUGCUCGAGUGGCGAACGGGUGAGUAACACGUGAGUAACCUGCCCUUGACUUUGGGAUAACUUCAGGAAACUGGGGCUAAUACCGGAUAGGAGCUCCUGCUGCAUGGUGGGGGUUGGAAAGUUUCGGCGGUUGGGGAUGGACUCGCGGCUUAUCAGCUUGUUGGUGGGGUAGUGGCUUACCAAGGCUUUGACGGGUAGCCGGCCUGAGAGGUUGACCGGCCACAUUGGGACUGAGAGACGGCCCAGACUCCUACGGGAGGCAGCAGUGGGGAAUAUUGCACAAUGGGCGGAAGCCUGAUGCAGCAACGCCGCGUGCGGGAUGACGGCCUUCGGGUUGUAAACCGCUUUCGCCUGUGACGAAGCGUGAGUGACGGUAAUGGGUAAAGAAGCACCGGCUAACUACGUG